GUGAGUGUAGCGUAUUGGAAGGCGCAUGGCUAAGAAUAUAUGGAAUAAUACUUGCAUAAUGUGUGAGUACCAUAUACUUGAAAGAUUGCAUGAGGUCUUGAAAACCUCUCAUGCAUCGUAGGUUCGAUUCCUGCCGCUCACG
This 142-nucleotide transfer RNA is filed under the name Weissella paramesenteroides. RNAcentral's name for it is "tRNA-Ser". It matches the Rfam family "tRNA". Rfam says of the family: Transfer RNA (tRNA) molecules are approximately 80 nucleotides in length. The record is from RNAcentral. RNAcentral also lists the same sequence under 1 other name. Lineage: Bacteria; Bacillati; Bacillota; Bacilli; Lactobacillales; Lactobacillaceae.